AACGCGAAGAACCUUACCUACCCUUGACAUGUACCGAACCCUGCUGAGAGGCGGGGGUGCCCGAAAGGGAGCGGUAACACAGGUGCUACAUGGCUGUCGUCAGCUCGUGUCGUGAGAUGUUGGGUUAAGUCCCGCAACGAGCGCAACCCUUGUCACUAGUUGCUACGCAAGGGCACUCUAGUGAGACCGCCGGUGACAAACCGGAGGAAGGUGGGGAUGACGUCAAGUCCUCAUGGCCCUUAUGGGUAGGGCUUCACACGUCAUACAAUGGCGCAUACAGAGGGCUGCCAACCCGCGAGGGGGAGCCAAUCCCAGAAAGUGCGUCGUAGUCCGGAUUGUUCUCUGCAACUCGAGAGCAUGAAGUCGGAAUCGCUAGUAAUCGCGGAUCAGCAUGUCGCGGUGAAUACGUUCCCGGGUCUGUACACACCA
Molecule: ribosomal RNA, 429 nt
Filed under: uncultured bacterium
Lineage: Bacteria
Description: bacterial SSU rRNA
Rfam family: Bacterial small subunit ribosomal RNA
Source: RNAcentral